AUGCAAAUACUUGAAUCCAGCAGGCCAAUAAUGAAAUGUGAACACUUUCUAAGUCUAAUUCUACACUUCCAGGUUGACAUCAGUACGCAGAAACAGGCUCUAGGAAAAAUUUCUAAGUUCACAGCCUAUGUGUGUGAGUGUGUGUGUGCGCGCGUGUGUGUGUGUUGAAACAGAAUGUGUGUGCACGUGCGUGUACGUGCACACUUUCUGUGUUCGUGUGUUAAGUGCGUGAAGGAUUUAACUGUGGGUUUUCCCUUUUUUCAGUAUGUGCGCUUUUUUUUUUUUUUGGCGCAUUGGUCAAACGUUUGUUAUUAUUAAUUAGCUUCUAACUUUGCACUGAGUGUCCCUGCCCUUCCUUUAGCUAAUCCUAUACAUUAAAGAAAAUUCAUAGGACAGGGCCGGUGACAAUUCAUGUGUAAAUGUUUACUCAAGGACUCUGUUAUUGCGUUUAAAAAUUACAGUGUAUAUCUCUGGAGAAAUAAUAUGUAUACCUACCUUUAGCAGCUUUUUAUUGUGGACUCAUGCAAGAAAAUUAUUACCAGAGUAUUGCACCAUUUUUCCAUUUGGAAUAUAAAGUUAAAGAGAAAAACUCUUGCUGAACUGUGGCCAUAGAUACUUGCUUGUAGAGGAUGGAUGGUUCCGCGGGAGGAGCGGAGACAAGCACUUGGACGUGGGUUGUGACUGCUUCGGAGGGGCCCGGGGUUAGGGCUCCCACCUGUUUACAGACCUUUUUUUUCUCCUUCAGACUUUAAAAAAAUUUUAAAAAGGAAUUAAAAAAAAAAAAAAGACUUCCGUCGUAAAGAAAACUAUUUUCAGAAUGCAGACCCGCUACUUCAGAGCUCUGGGAUUGAACAGUGUUGUUUCCCCUCGGCCAUCGUCAUGGACUCUGUCGACUGUCCCUUCUUCGAGGUGACGAGUUGUGGUCACUGUCUUGCACACGCGGGUGCGCUCUCAGGAAAGCCAGGGUUCCCGAGGGGCGGCUCCACACCAUUUCAUGUAUUUUGUAACCCAACUCCUAGCACUGAAGAUGUUAUUAAAAAACAAACAAAAAUAAAAAAGAAAGAAAAAAAAAGAAAAUAGAAAAAAAAAAAACACAAAGAAGAAAGAUACCUAAUCUCUAACGUGUAGCAGUUACGUAUGUACCAAAUAAUGGACUCAAAGGAGAUAGAUGUUCGAAGAGUGCUUUAUAUAUUAAAAAUCGCUUUAUGUUUUAAAAAUGAUCAAUGUUUUGAUUGUUUGGCAAGAAAGAAAGACAAUGGAGUAACAUACCCUCAAGUAUGUUUAAAAAAAAUAUAUGAACAUUGUGCUCCCUGCCUGCCUGAUCAGGAAACUUGUGCAUUACAUUUUUUUUAAUUAGCUUUUUAAUGGUUUUAUCAAAACAAAACAAAACAAAAAAACAUAAAAAACGAAAAAAAAACAAAAAAAAAAAGAAAAAGAAAGUUCCUGCAAAAUUGCAGAUCAACAAAAGCUGGUUUUAUAGAGGAUCACGAACUAUGCACAAACUGGUUCAAGACUUUUUCUCAAGUUCAGUAGUGUAUUUCGCUAAGAAGACCUUCCUCAGAGUAACUGCAUCUCAUUGCCAUUACACGCGCCCUGUGUGCUGGAUGCACACGCCCCCGUGCACCCGCAUCAGACACACGCGCGUGGCCCAGACGUACAGCUUCCCUGCUGCGUUAGCGUCGAGUCGUAGAGACCUCCUGACAUUUUUAAAUUGGGGAUGGAAGUAAAGAGUUUGUUUUGUUUGUUUUUGUUUUUUGUUGGGUUUUUUUUUUUUUGACCUUUUAUUUUGAAUUAAAGAUGUCUGUAACUCUGAGAUUAAAAAAAAAAAAACAAGUUUGUGGCUUUUAAUGUUUCUCCUCAUAGAAUGUGAUUGUCGAAGAACACGCACCGAAAGUUGCUUUCAAAAGUACAACGCUUUGUUGAAUCUCAAUAAACUGCAAUUUUUUUCUUGGC
RNA transcript from Camelus dromedarius (Arabian camel), 1953 nucleotides. RefSeq lists it as uncharacterized. The transcript has a single exon. NCBI's taxonomy places the organism in Eukaryota, Metazoa, Chordata, Mammalia, Artiodactyla, Camelidae. The record is from RefSeq and is a predicted model, not a curated record.